UACUCCACUCUACAGCAAGGCAAUGAACAGCGUCGUGCACACACGGCAAGGAUGACUCUCACAGCAUGAGUCUGUGUGCAAGAGGCCAGAGCCUGGGAGGCUCCGUUUACGAUGACUCAGAGACCACAACCUUGGAAACUAGCCUGGGGCAUUUGGAGCUGGGCUGGCCACCCUUGGGAGAAGAGGGAGGGCCUGGAAGCAGAAAGAGAAAAUCACCUUCUACCUACCGUGUCGUCACAGGAGGCAAUACAUGCUGAAGCCACACUGUGGGGGUCCCUCGCUGAACCCCCCAGCCAAGCCACUCACCUCCCCAGUUGCUGACGUGUGGGCAACAGUAGGAACUCCGUAGCUGUGAGCUCUUUAACUUGCUUUUUUCACUGAAUCUAAUGCAAACAUCUUUCCAAACCAAGAACUAACACUUGUGCCUUACAUACAAGGGAACCGUAAAUACAGGGCAAUGUCCAACUGGAUCCUCCAAAAUGUUUUUUAUCCAUCUUGAAGAUGUAAAUGUUUUGAUUGUGGAUGGAAAAGUCACAAGAGUGCUUAUAAAAUGUAAUUCAUUGAUUAAAUUAGAAAUGCAUUUUGAAAUCAAAAGUGAGAUAAGAUAGGAUGUGUGGUAGAGACUAGCCAGUUGUUCAUCAAAUUGCUUCCUCUUAUUCCUAACAAUACAGGUUGCCUCCAUUUCCAAGCCUCCCUUGCAGUUAGGACAGUCACAUGACAGAGUCUGUCCAGUGAGAUUGGGACAUAAUGGCAGGCACUGCUUCCAUAUGCCUGGCCUUGGAAACUCCCCACACCCAGCCUUCCCAAGCCUUCACCAUCUGCUGGCUGGAUGGCAGGAAUCCUCCCCAGACACGAGCCUAGGUGAUGGUGAAUCCACCACAAGGAGAGGGCCUGGGCCCUGAGUCACCAUGUGGAAGACCACCCACACACACCCAAGUAGAACUUGUGUGAAGAAGAAGCCCAUAGCGUCACCUCUCGUAAAUGUCUGGGUUGACGGUGCAGCGGUUGACUCACCCUCAUGCAAUGCAUUGAUUUAGAAGACAUGCUUCUUCUGCGUCACAUUCGGGUCCCUUUACUCCCAUCCAUCACCUGUGUCAUCAACAUUGGUGUCAUUAUCUUCAAGAGCCACUUCUUGAGUCUUCCAGCUCUGUUUUCCGAAGCACAUCAUCUUCUUUUCGCUUCUGAGUUCUUUGAGAUUUUAAUCCACUCGGGGCAUUGUUGAGGGUCAUUUUGUCAAGACACAACUCUCUGCCAGGCACGGGGCCUCACACCUGUAAUCCCAGCACUUUGGGAGGCCGAGGUGGGCAGAUCAUGUGAGCCC
RNAcentral lists this long non-coding RNA (1321 nucleotides) under Piliocolobus tephrosceles (Ugandan red Colobus). RNAcentral describes it as "lncRNA (ENSPTEG00000016070.1)". The record is from RNAcentral. Lineage: Eukaryota; Metazoa; Chordata; Mammalia; Primates; Cercopithecidae.